Non-coding RNA from Arvicanthis niloticus (Nile rat), 884 nucleotides. The record is from RefSeq and is a predicted model, not a curated record. NCBI's taxonomy places the organism in Eukaryota, Metazoa, Chordata, Mammalia, Rodentia, Muridae.
AUGGCAUUGCACAACAAAGGCACUAGGUCCACUUCCGCCUCUUCCAGCUUCACUGGUGGGGAAGGGCAAAGACAAAGGCCGCUCUGGAGAUUCGGCCGUGAAGCAGGUGCAGAUCGACAGCCUAGUAGUAUUAAAGAUAAUCAAACAUUAUCAAGAAGGACAAGGAACUGAGGUUGUUCAAGGAGUGCUUCUGGGACUGGUUGUAGAAGAUCGACUAGAGAUUACCAAGCACACAGAGGAUGAUGCUGACUUUGAUGAAGUGCAAUAUCAGAUGGAGAUGAUGCUCAGCCUUCCCCACGUCAACACUGAUCACUUCCACUUGGACUGGUAUCAGUCCACAUAUUAUGGCUCCUUCGCUACCCAGGCACUUCUAGAUUCUCAGUUCAGUUACCAGCACACCAUUGAAGAAUCUGUCGUUCUCAUUUACGAUCCCAAGGAUCUCUCUCACUGAAGGCAUAAAGACCGACUCCUAAACUGAUGCCAGUGUGUAAAGAGGACUUUUCUCCUGAAGCACUGAAAAAAGCAAACAUCACCUUUGAGCAUAUGCUUGAAGAAGUGCCGAUUGUAAUUAACAUUUGGUGAAGAAUCUUCAGUUGCUGAUGGAUCAGGUAGAUGAAAUGAGCUAGGACAUAAUCAAGUACACAUACAUGAGGAACACCAGUAAACAGCAGCAGCAAAAGCAUCAGUAUCAGCAGUGUCGCCAGCAGGAGAGUAUGCAGCGAGAGAGUCUAAGCGAGCCCCUGCUCCCUGAGGAGGACUCUUUAUGUGUCAUCUCAGCACCAAGACUCUUUGGAGUUGGAGCCUCUGAAAGCAUCACGGUCCAAGCUGAUGACUACAUUGAAGCAUGCACUCAAUGCAACUGUCUCUGUAAAAAGUUACCCUGA